Molecule: ribosomal RNA, 497 nt
Filed under: uncultured bacterium
Lineage: Bacteria
Description: partial 16S ribosomal RNA
Rfam family: Bacterial small subunit ribosomal RNA
Source: RNAcentral
GAUGAACGCUGGCGGCGUGCCUAAUACAUGCAAGUAGAACGCUGAAGGAAGGAGCUUGCUCUUUCCGGAUGAGUUGCGAACGGGUGAGUAACGCGUAGGUAACCUGCCUGGUAGCGGGGGAUAACUAUUGGAAACGAUAGCUAAUACCGCAUAACAGUAGAUGUUGCAUGAUAUCUACUUAAAAGGUGCAAUUGCACCACUACCAGAUGGACCUGCGUUGUAUUAGCUAGUUGGUGAGGUAACGGCUCACCAAGGCGACGAUACAUAGCCGACCUGAGAGGGGGGUCCGCCCAACUGGGAACGGGACACGGCCCAAGACUCCUACGGAGGGAGCAGUAGGGGAACUUUGGGAAAUGGCGGAAAUCCGACCCGGGAACGCCGCGGUGGGUGAGGAGGGUUUCGGAUCGUAAAGCUCUGUUGUAAGAGAAGAACGAGUGUGAGAGUGGAAAGUUCACACUGUGACGGUAUCUUACCAGAAAGGGACGGCUAACUACGUG